This 228-nucleotide ribosomal RNA is filed under the name uncultured bacterium. Its description in RNAcentral is "partial 16S ribosomal RNA". It matches the Rfam family "Bacterial small subunit ribosomal RNA", at positions 568 to 796 of the family's 1533-position model. The record is from RNAcentral.
UGCGUAGGCGGUUUGUUAAGUCACUUGUAAAAGAUCUCAGCUCAACUGAGUAAAGCGAGUGAAACUGGCAGACUUGAAUACGGUAGAGGUAAGUGGAAUUCCAUGUGUAGCGGUGGAAUGCGUAGAUAUAUGGAGGAACACCAAUGGCGAAGGCAACUUACUGGGCCGGAAUUGACGCUGAGGCACGAAAGCGUGGGGAGCAAACAGGAUUAGAUACCCUGGUAGUCC